Molecule: ribosomal RNA, 460 nt
Filed under: uncultured bacterium
Lineage: Bacteria
Description: partial 16S ribosomal RNA
Rfam family: Bacterial small subunit ribosomal RNA
Source: RNAcentral
CCUACGGGUGGCUGCAGUGAGGAAUAUUGGUCAAUGGACGCAAGUCUGAACCAGCCAUGCCGCGUGCAGGAAGACGGCUCUAUGAGUUGUAAACUGCUUUUGUACGAGGGUAAACGCAGAUACGCGUAUCUUUCUGAAAGUAUCUUACGAAUAAGGAUCGGCUAACUCCGUGCCAGCAGCCGCGGUAAUACGGAGGGUUCAAGCGUUAUCCGGAUUUAUUGGGUUUAAAGGGUGCGUAGGCGGUCGGAUAAGUUAGAGGUGAAAUCCCGAGGCUCAACUUCGGAAUUGCCUCUGAUACUGUACGGCUAGAGGGUAGUUGCGGUAGGCGGAAUGUAUGGUGUAGCGGUGAAAUGCUUAGAGAUCAUACAGAACACCGAUUGCGAAGGCAGCUUACCAGGCUACAUCUGACGUUGAGGCACGAAAGCGUGGGGAGCAAACAGGAUUAGAUACCCCGGUAGUC